AAAUUACUUAAUUAAAGAAUUAGAGUAUUUUCCUUUGAAACGUACUUAUGGAAUAAGAAUGUUCUUCUAAUUUUGGGUAUUAUGGAUAUUUAAAUAUUAUUUGAGACUAGUUACAAAAAUGUAGAUUUUUAAAAUGCAUUAAGUCAAAAUAUCUGGAUAUAAUACAAAUGUUUUUAUUUUGCAGUUUUCUUUGUUUUUGUUUUUGUUUUUUAAAUCACUGAUGUUGCAGAGUUUUCCGGUCCCCAGUCAGAAGUCAUAUAUUAACAUUUCAUGAAGAAUGAGAAAUUUGGAUUGUAUUUAUUAUAUACCACAUAGUAAAAUAAAUAUACACUAGAUAAGAAAAAUUAUCUGUGGUUUGGCCCAUACAGAUGCAUUCCCUGGCCAGUUGACAGCUACUCUCUUGGGAACUGUGAACAUUUAAAAAAAAAAAAAAAAAAACCCAGAGCGCACCCCCCACCACCACCACUAUUUUGGCACUAUCUACUCUAGAAUAAGCUUGGCUAUAGUGUAGCUAUAGCAGCUGCCAGUGUUGGUAGCUUUCUUGGAGAUAAGAGGAGAAACUAGAUGAAAUUUCUUUGGAUAGACAAAAAUCUGAGUUUGGCAAACAUUUUCUCAGAGACUAUGGUUUACAAGGCUCAGACCUGUGCCAGUUUCACAGGGAACUUAUCUGUGUGAGUUCCAUGGAUCCUCAUAGAUAAAAUAAUAUCAGUAAUCAAGUAGACAUGCACUGUGUUAGAAAAACAAGGAAGAAAAAAGUUCUCUCCAAAGAAUGCCUUUAUUCAGUUAGUACAAAAACAACCUUGGAGUGACUCAAGCCUGAACUUCAGCAGAAUUGACCCUUACUAUUGAAAUUGGGAGAUAUUUUGAGGUAUGGAAAACCUUGGAAAUCCACCACUGGCUAAUCUGUGGGGAUCUGCUAUCAUGUGUUCCAAUUGUUGGUUCCCUUACUGAUUGUGAUAAGUUGCAACAGAAAAGUUUUCUAAAUUAGCUAAUAACAAUUUAUACCUAUUAAUAGAAAUAAAUAUUCCAGUUCAUUCAAUGUUAUUGUUGUUUUUCAAAUCAAUACACAGCUAAGAUUUUCAUGGUGGAGGAUUGAUAAUUCUGCCAAAAUCUAAAAGUUCUUUCUUUGGUGUUGUUAAAUCAAUAUGGAGUCUUGCCAAGGGUUUAUUGUAUAUGCCUAAGAAACACUAUGUGUAUUUGAUGAAUCAUGAAGAGCAAUCUAUAACGUGCUCUAUUUCAUUAUUACAUUUGACUUUUAGAGUCAUUUUGAGGUUAUUACUUUUUUAGUUUUGUAACAAGAAAUUGAGGUCAACUACUUGAAAAUGUGAUUCCUGUUGUCUUACCAUACUAAAAUAGUGACCACUUUAUAAAAUAAUACAGUUUUCUCACUUUUAAUACAUGUUUACAUUAGCUGACUCCAUUUCCUGCUCUAUUAAUGGAUCAUUGUUGGCAUUACCUCCUUAAGUACAACCAAUUUAAGAUAUGGAUCAAAGAAGGUAGAAUCUUACUGCCACAAAAAUUUAAUUAGCAUUAAAGAGUAAGUACUUUGAUUAUACUUUAGAUCCAUGUUCAAAAUAAUGCCUUCAUACUUAGACAUCACAUAGUACUAUAAUAUACACUGAAAUUAAUGCAAUACAAACUUACUAACAGAUUCAAGUUUAAGAAUGAGUACAUGUUUCUUUGAAAGCAGGCUUAAGGUUAUGCUUAUAAUAUAACCCUUACUUAUUUUUAUUACUAAAUACCUUCUAAAAGUGGUAGAGAGAAACAUUGAGUUAAACAUAAAAGAAAAUGACUUGUGUUUGAUCUUGAAUGUGCCAAUGGGAACAUUUUGUCCUAACAUUCUCUCAGGGAGUUCUAAAUGUUAGCAUUUAUCAUAUUUAAUUCAACUUUAAUUUUUGUACAUGUAUCAUUAGAGUGUAAGCUUCAUAAAGACAAGCAUUAUAUUUAUCUAGUUCUUAUAGUAUCCAUAGUAUUUAUCAUAGUGUCUGUCUCAGAAUAAUCUCUCAUUGGAUGGAAAAUUGAACGAGCAAAUUACUUUUUGGUAUGACAGAAAUUUUAGCAUUUUUGCUGUGAUGUUUAAAC
RNAcentral lists this long non-coding RNA (2082 nucleotides) under Marmota monax (woodchuck). Lineage: Eukaryota; Metazoa; Chordata; Mammalia; Rodentia; Sciuridae. The record is from RNAcentral.